UACGGGGGGGGCAAGCGUUGUUCGGAAUUACUGGGCGUAAAGGGCUCGUAGGUGGCCAACUAAGUCAGACGUGAAAUCCCUCGGCUUAACCGGGGAACUGCGUCUGAUACUGGAUGGCUUGAGUUCGGGAGAGGGAUGCGGAAUUCCAGGUGUAGCGGUGAAAUGCGUAGAUAUCAGGAGGAAUACCGAUGGCGAAGGCAGGUCUCUGGGCUAUAACUGACGCUCACGCACGAAAGCGUGGGGAGCAAACAGG
RNAcentral lists this ribosomal RNA (253 nucleotides) under uncultured bacterium. RNAcentral's name for it is "partial 16S ribosomal RNA". It matches the Rfam family "Bacterial small subunit ribosomal RNA", at positions 524 to 776 of the family's 1533-position model. The record is from RNAcentral.